Molecule: long non-coding RNA, 3088 nt
Filed under: Sus scrofa (pig)
Lineage: Eukaryota; Metazoa; Chordata; Mammalia; Artiodactyla; Suidae
Description: lncRNA (ENSSSCG00005003875.1)
Source: RNAcentral
GCAGAAAAUCAGUCUCUCCCCUCUCUCCCAAGCACUGCUGCCUUAGUCUUUGGGGCCUUGCAGAUCUUACAGCCGAAGGCUGUGGUCAUCCGUGUAGUGACCUACAAACCACCUUCACACACUGUAUUUCUUGUCAUGCAUGGUCACUGAAGUCUGUUACUUAAGCUUCUGUUCAACUAAGGUUGUGUCACAAAUUUCUUUAAAUUCCUGGAUCAAAUAAGAUUGGGGGGGGGAGGCUCUUCUGCCUUUUUAUUUUAAAUGGCUGUAUCCACGGUACGUGGAUCGCCCCAGGCCAGGGAUGUAAUCUAAGCCACAGCUGCGACGUGUGCCACAGCUGUGGCACCGCUGGGUCCUUUAACCCAACCUGCUGCAGUUGGACUCUUAACCCACCGCGCCAUGGUGUGAACUCAUUCUGCCUUUUGAAUCCCCGGAUUCAUGCUACCAGAGAGGCUGUUCUAGCUGUGGAUGCUGAAAUAAUGACCACGCUGAACCGGCUCCUCAGCAGAGUUCCAGGCAGAUUAAAACACACAGCUCGAAUCUCUGGAGGCAGAAGCUCCUUUUAUUCACCCUGGCUUGAGCAGGUUGUGCCAGUAAGGUGGGGUGCUGUUCCCCCCGGCUGCCAUGGCGGGGCUGGGCGUGGUGGUGGCUACAUGAAAUGCCAAAAUUCACUGAAAUCUGCCAGCCUUUCUUUAUCAACCACCUCCUUGGAUGUUGUGAGUCUGAGGAGACUCCUCAGUGCUAAAAUAGUUAUUUUAGUUCUUGUCGUGGCUCAGUGGUUAACGAACCCAACUAGUAUCCAUGAGGAUGCAGGUUCGAUCCCUGGCCUCACUCAGUGGGUUAAGGAUCUGGCGUUGCUGUGGCGGUGGGGUAGGUCGCAGACACAGCUCGGAUCCGGUGUGGCUGUGGCCGUGGCGGAGGCUGGUGGCUGCAGCUCUGACUGGACCCCUGGCCUGGGAACCUCCACAUGCCUUGGAUGUGGUCUUUAAAAAACUGAAGCGUUAAUUCAGACAGAUUUUGCAAGCUCAGUAGUUGAUUUGGUGGGGUACUGAUUCCUGGAGCUUACCUAUGUUGGAAGGGUUUGAGUUACACGUUCAGCUGUUUUUUUUAGGUUCCCAGGCUAGGGGUCAAAUGGGAGCUGUAGCCGCCGGCCUAUACCACAGCCACAGCUGCACCGGAUCCAAGCCACAUCUGCAACCUGUACCCCAGCUCACAGCAAUGCCGGAUCCUUAACUCACUGAGCGGGGCCAGGGAUCAAGUCCGGGUCCUCACGGAUGCGAGUCGGGUUCAUUAACCACAAGCCAGGACGGGAACUCAUUUGUUCUUUUUGAGUUGCGUAACUUCAUCUGCGUUGAGAGCACUUGCCCUCAUUUCAUGGGGUGUGGUCGCAGCUCAUGUCCUUUCUGCUGCCCCCGGCAUAUGCUUACGUCGCUGUUUUCUCUCCCUUUAGGGGUUUUCCUGGCUCUUUGCACAUCGAGUCAUUCUGGAUGGUUCUGGACAUCUUGCGUGGUCUCUGAAUCCUAUGUAAAGCCUCUAGAGAAUGUUAACUUUUUUUCUUUUUUUAAAGCAGGCACAUGAUCCAGCCAGGGUCAGACUGAACUGCCAACCUACCCGCUGUGCGCCGUGGUUCCAGGUCAGUGGUUCUCCAAGCUUGCCGAGCAGCGUGGGCAGCUCAAGGUGAGCCGGGGGGCGGUAUCCAGCUCCAGGGGGGGCUUUCUCUACCUUCCUCUAGGCCUUGAUGUCCUGUGCGUCCUGUCUCCUGACCCUCAGCUAACAGGCCCAGGUCUCGGCCCCCCCGUGACGUUACGCACCUCGUGGGGCCAGAUAAAGCCUGUCUCCCUCCCACCCCCGCCUGGACUGGCAGCGCCCCUGGUCCGGCCCCUCCGCGGGCCCACUGUCUCCAGGGUGUGCAGUGCUGAUGCCCAGGCCAUCCCAGAAGCUACGCCAGGAGACGCGGGGGGACAGUUGAGGACAGUCGUUGCUGCAGGGGCUGCUCUUCUGGGGAUGAUCCCCUGCUGUCGCUUCUUCCACGACCGAGACGGUUGCUUUGUCCCGUGAAUGCCCGAGACACAGGGCAGAGCGUGUUCACGCCAUGGGGACCUCAGGACGUGUCUCAAGUCAGAACUUCUGUGUUCACAGGUUUCGUCGUCUCACCAGAGCGCGUCUGAAACCUGCGAACACUGGUCACUGGGGACAGGAGCACGGAGGCGGGUCCACCUGGGUCUUUCCACCCCCGCACGCGGUGCAGCCUCACCUCCGCUCGGGCCUCAACUCACCACGCGGUGAUGGCACGGAGCCUCCAGAGCUGCCUCAGCCCACGAGGCACGGGGCCCAGACGCGCGCCUCCCCCAGCGGCUGCCACCCUCUGGUCUGAGGAGCUCGUCGGCUUCUACGAACCGAAGGCCUCCUCUCUCGACUCCUUUCUCGGGUGGAGGAAGGUCACCCUGCAGGAUGGCGGUCGCCUCCUCCUCCGCUCCAUUCACUUCGGCGUGAACUACGGCAUCACCAGAGCGGCUCCUCCGGAGCAAGAAGGGGCCGCGACCUAAAGCACUGGAAGCAGGGAUCCGCCGCGGACCCCGGCCCCAAAGGCGCGGCCGUCCAGGCCGCUGUCCGCACCGCCCUGCCUGUCUCUAGGGAGGGCGCCACUCUUCGCUCCGUGGGAACUGUCCUUGAAGGCGGUGCCACACCCCGGGUGACGGGCCGGGACCUGCGUGCCCGCCUGCCCCUUAGACACGGUUUCCGUCUCACAGGACGACGUGGCUCAGCUGCUUUGCAACGUCCCUUCCCAGGCUGAGCGCUGAGCCUGCAGGAGAAACGGCAGCUACGGGCUGUUCAACUCCAACUCGACGGCAACAGCCAGGCUGACUCAGCGGGGCCUGCGACCGGAGCCUGUGCCCGGGCACACGCGCUCCCCCUUCCCGCGGUGGAGCCCGGAGCUGGCACUGCUGUCGUCACAGCCGCUCCUUCCGACACUUGUUCCAGCGCACGAGGCCUCUGGCGAGCUCCGAACAGAGCAGUGCCUGCUUAAGCUUAUCCAAAGGACAAUGAUACUCUGUAUUCAAUUAAAAUUAAUAAAAAUAUUUUAUUGAGU